This 241-nucleotide long non-coding RNA is filed under the name Lathyrus oleraceus (garden pea). RNAcentral's name for it is "Pisum sativum (pea) long non-coding RNA (PSAT_LNC000131)". The record is from RNAcentral. Lineage: Eukaryota; Viridiplantae; Streptophyta; Magnoliopsida; Fabales; Fabaceae.
AAAUCCUAAGGGGUACUAGGCUAAAAUUCAAAGAGACAAAAGAGACUUGAAAGAAACUGCGGGAGUUGAAUUUAUAAAAUAUUUCAUUCACUUCAACAACUCUAUAUUAAUUGUUUUCGUUCAUAUCUUUUUUCUCCUUUCUCUUUUUUCUUCUUCUUUUUUUCUUUUUCAUAAGGAGUAUGUAUUGACAUGUAUACAUCAUUCUAUUGUUUUCAUUCAUUUCUUUUCUUUUCUAUUUUAU